RNAcentral lists this ribosomal RNA (640 nucleotides) under uncultured bacterium. RNAcentral's name for it is "bacterial SSU rRNA". It matches the Rfam family "Bacterial small subunit ribosomal RNA", at positions 194 to 822 of the family's 1533-position model. The record is from RNAcentral.
AGAAAGUUGAAAGGCGCUUUUGCGUCACUGAUGGAUGGACCCGCGGUGCAUUAGCUAGUUGUUGAGGUAACGGCUCACCAAGGCCACGAUGCAUAGCCGACCUGAGAGGGUGAUCGGCCACACUGGGACUGAGACACGGCCCAGACUCCUACGGGAGGCAGCAGUAGGGAAUCUUCGGCAAUGGACGAAAGUCUGACCGAGCAACGCCGCGUGAGUGAAGAAGGUUUUCGGAUCGUAAAACUCUGUUGUUAGAGAAGAACAAGGAUGAGAGUAGAACGUUCAUCCCUUGACGGUAUCUAACCAGAAAGCCACGGCUAACUACGUGCCAGCAGCCGCGGUAAUACGUAGGUGGCAAGCGUUGUCCGGAUUUAUUGGGCGUAAAGCGAGCGCAGGCGGUUUCUUAAGUCUGAUGUGAAAGCCCCCGGCUCAACCGGGGAGGGUCAUUGGAAACUGGGAGACUUGAGUGCAGAAGAGGAGAGUGGAAUUCCAUGUGUAGCGGUGAAAUGCGUAGAUAUAUGGAGGAACACCAGUGGCGAAGGCGGCUCUCUGGUCUGUAACUGACGCUGAGGCUCGAAAGCGUGGGGAGCGAACAGGAUUAGAUACCCUGGUAGUCCACGCCGUAAACGAUGAGUGCUAAGUG